UACGAAGGGGGCUAGCGUUGCUCGGAAUCACUGGGCGUAAAGCGCACGUGGGCGGAUUGUUAAGUCAGGGGUGAAAUCCUGGAGCUCAACUCCAGAACUGCCUUUGAUACUGGCAAUCUCGAGUUCGGGAGAGGUGAGUGGAACUGCGAGUGUAGAGGUGAAAUUCGUAGAUAUUCGCAAGAACACCAGUGGCGAAGGCGGCUCACUGGCCCGAUACUGACGCUGAGGUGCGAAAGCGUGGGGAGCAAACAGG
RNAcentral lists this ribosomal RNA (253 nucleotides) under uncultured bacterium. Its description in RNAcentral is "partial 16S ribosomal RNA". It matches the Rfam family "Bacterial small subunit ribosomal RNA", at positions 524 to 776 of the family's 1533-position model. The record is from RNAcentral.